Molecule: transfer RNA, 68 nt
Filed under: bovine gut metagenome
Rfam family: tRNA
About the family: Transfer RNA (tRNA) molecules are approximately 80 nucleotides in length. Their secondary structure includes four short double-helical elements and three loops (D, anti-codon, and T loops).
Source: RNAcentral
GGUUAUAGCUCAGUUGGUAGAGCGUUGGCUUCCCAAGCCGAAGGUCACGGGUUCGAGACCCGCUAACC